This 301-nucleotide ribosomal RNA is filed under the name uncultured bacterium. Its description in RNAcentral is "partial 16S ribosomal RNA". It matches the Rfam family "Bacterial small subunit ribosomal RNA", at positions 509 to 807 of the family's 1533-position model. The record is from RNAcentral.
CAGCCGCCGCGGGAAUACGAGGGGGGCAAGCGUUGUUCGGAUUUAUUGGGCGUAAAGGGUGCGUAGGCGGUUUGGCAAGUCUUGUGUGAAAUCUUCGGGCUCAACCCGAAGCCUGCACGAGAAACUACCGGGCUUGAGUAUUGGAGAGGUGAGUGGAAUUUCCGGUGUAGCGGUGAAAUGCAUAGAUAUCGGAAGGAACACCUGUGGCGAAAGCGGCUCACUGGACAAUAACUGACGCUGAUGCACGAAAGCUAGGGGAGCAAACAGGAUUAGAUACCCCCGUAGUCCCUGUCUCUUAUAC